AUGCUACCGAUCUGCAUGCAACAACAACUCCUCCAUCAUCACUGCAACAUCUGCGGUCAGCCACCGCUUACCCACACCACCCCAGUACCGCCGCCGUUUUCCACUGUCUCAAUCGCCAACGCGGCCCUCCAUACUCUAAGUGGUGGUUUCUGUCUCUUAUUAUUUCUCAUGUUGACUUUAAUUUAUUUUUUUUGCUUUUAUUUGCAAGGAAGAAUGAGAGGAAUUUAA
Molecule: non-coding RNA, 228 nt
Organism: Vicia faba (fava bean)
Lineage: Eukaryota; Viridiplantae; Streptophyta; Magnoliopsida; Fabales; Fabaceae
Source: the annotation of a GenBank genome assembly